AGAAUUUAGGGCUAAAUGGGAAAUCUUCUUGGCCGCUAAGGCGUGAUUCUGUACCGAGCGAUGCUGGCCAGUGGCAAUAGCCUCGUCCCACACACCAUUGGGUGUGCUAGGCGCCAGGAUUUGGAGAGGGCAGGGAUAGAUGCACCGCUCUUGGAGGGCUCAAGGAUCUUAACAUGCUACAGAAAGGUUUGAGCUUUCUUUCUCUUUUCUUUUGGAUUGCUGAGGAUAGAGGAUGUGGACGGAUUCUUUGGAGCUCGGAUCUGACUGGUAACGCAGUGAUACCAAUUUCUUUGCUUCUCUCUCCUUUUUUUCUAGACCUUGGAGACUCCCAAGUAUCAAGGGGAAAAAAGAAAGAAAACACAGCUCCACCUUGAGUGCCUAAACCACGAACAUUGCUCACCGUUACUCCUCGAAUUCCAACUCUCAGCAAUGCUUGAUUGAAAGAACAAAAAGCUUGAAUCAAAAAAACCUUGAAUCCUUGAGAGGAUGUGAUUAGGUUUGUGCCA
Long non-coding RNA from Selaginella moellendorffii, 506 nucleotides. RefSeq lists it as uncharacterized. The transcript has 2 exons. NCBI's taxonomy places the organism in Eukaryota, Viridiplantae, Streptophyta, Lycopodiopsida, Selaginellales, Selaginellaceae. The record is from RefSeq and is a predicted model, not a curated record.